AUUCUCGACAAUAAAGUGCAGGCUAAAUAUAAUUAAAGUGCUGGUUUUCCAGUUAUGACACUAAACGUUGGUGUGGAAUAAACGUUGCGGACCCGGGGGCGGUACCCGGCGGCUCCACCAUUUAACAUUUUGAAUGUUAAAUGGCGGGGCCGAAAUAGGAUCGACGCGCGCAAUAAAGACAUUAUACGGUGUUCGGCAUUGUAUCCGCCGUUAUCGGGCUAUUAUUACAAAUGCAAAUGAUAAUUUUGUGUUCGUAGCAGCUAACGACAACUCUGUUGUUGAAGGUGAAGGUCGCAUCGCUGCUUAAUUGAGCAGUAGUGACAGCUACAUAGAAUUCUUAGGGAAUUAACCUCCCUUAGUGGGGCCCGAGCCGAGCCUAGCAACAGAGUCGGCUCAUU
Molecule: transfer-messenger RNA, 398 nt
Filed under: Micavibrio sp. TMED27
Lineage: Bacteria; Pseudomonadati; Bdellovibrionota; Bdellovibrionia; Bdellovibrionales; Pseudobdellovibrionaceae
Also listed under: 1 other name
Rfam family: Alphaproteobacteria transfer-messenger RNA
About the family: Bacterial tmRNA, also known as 10Sa RNA or SsrA, is named for its dual tRNA and mRNA-like properties.
Source: RNAcentral